CCUGCUUCUCCCUCUCCCACUCCCCCUGCUUAGGUUCCCUCUCUCACUAUCUCUCUCUGUGUCAAAUAAAUUAAAACUUUAGAAAAAAAAAAAAACACCUUUUCACAUAGGUCCUAUAUCUAGUUAAAUCUUACAGAAAAUGCUUUGAGUGGAUGAUCUUCUCAAUUCUCCCAAGGAUGGUGCUCAGCGCACAGCACUCCAGACGCACAGAAGUUCAUUCAUUACAUAAAAUGUAUGCCUGAAGGCAUUAGGAUUUAAUUCUGUUAAGAACUCCUAGACUCCCAAGACAGCCUGUUGAGGACAGGGCUGACUUAGAAUGGAGCCUAAAAAUCUUGUUGCCUAACCAAGAUCCCUUCUACUCCAGAACUCUUCAGGAGCAGGCAGCAUCUAAACCAAACUAUAAAGGAAGCCGUGUCCUCUUGUUUUGCAUUUUCAGGAAGCAGGGCUGUUCACUCAUUGCACCAGCACCUAAGAGCCCUCCCUGACCUUGGUCAAAGGACUCAAGUUCUCCUAGCCUGUUUCUUCGUACGUGAAAAUAGGAACAAGAGGACCUAGCCGACAAAUUUCACGAUGGUGAAUAUUAAAACUGAAAUGGACUUAUUCAAAGAAUUGUGGAUUCAUCCUUACAGUGGAACACUCUCCAGUUGUUUUGUGGAUGGAUGUUUUCGUACUCUUUCGUUAUCCUUGCUGUGAGUAAACACAUUGCCCCAGAAAAUCCUGCUUGGGCCCUGGGGUUCACGUGGGUUUUGUGAGGCUGGUCCUAGCCUCUGGCCUAAUCAAUUAGAGAGCUCCAUGGCCCUGGCCGUGAUUGAUUCAGGGCUAGGCAGACGUGGAAGAUACGAACCCAACAGCCACUCUCAGCCUCCCUUCUCCUUUGCUGCUUCCCACUGUAGCCUCUGGAACGUUAGCUACUCUCCCAGCUUCUCAGCCAGGAAGUGGCCAGGUAACCUAGUUCUGGCCAACGAAGUCAAAAGACCGCUCUGGGAAGAUACUCUGCUUUCUGAGAAAAAUGACAUGCUUGCAAAACAAACUAUCUGUGUUCCUUCCCUUUUCUUCCUGCCUCGAAGGCAGAUGUGAUACCUGGAGCUGGGAAAGCCAUUUUAUGACCAUGAGGCAACUAGACUAAGAAUAGAGUGGAGAAUAGAAAGAACAUAAGUCCUUGAUAUUUGACCAGUGCUGGGACUCCUGCUUCUGGACUUCUUCUAAAUAAGUCAUAAAUAUCCUAUGGUUUAAAUGUUAAGCCACUGUUAGUACUGAGUUUUCUGUAACUGAAGUUGAAAACAUGACUCAUCAUUACAGUGGAUGACUCAGGUCUUCCUCAGGGUUUGUGAUGGUAUUUUGGGAAGAUACAUUGUGGGGAGCUGUAAAAUCCAGGAAAGCUUAGAGCUACCAGUGAGAAAAGUAGAACCAAGAGAAGAGACACAGAACCCUGAUGACAUCACUUGAACCACUUAGAUCUAGCCAUGUCUGAAGCCAAAUAUAUCCCAUUAAGUUUAAUGACUGGGUGAAUGAAUUAGUGAAAACAUAAAUAAUUUUUUUUUUUUUACCCUGAGGCUAGUUAGAGGAAAUUCUGGAAGGAUACUUGGUUACCUAUAUUGCUGCAUAAUAGAUGAUCCCAGAACUCAGUGGCUGAAAACAGUAAGUCCAAUAAGAGCCAAAGAGAAAUGUACUAUGAAGCCAUGAAAAGACUAGGAAGGAAACUCAAAGAUGUGUCACAGAGAGAAAUUGAUCCGAAUAGGCUAUGUCUGCUAUAAUAUUCCAACGAUAUAAUAUUCUGGAAAAGGCAAAACUAGAGAGUAGAAAGAUCAGUAAUUGGGGAGGAAGCUGUUAGGGAGGAGGAAGGCAUGAAUAAAUGGAGUCCAGAGAAAUUUUAGGGCAGUGAAACUGUUCUGUAUGAUGCUGUCAGGGUGAAUACGUGUCUCUCUACCUGUACAAACCCAGGGAAUGUACGAGAAUGAAUCCUGAUGAAAAUAGUGGGCUUUGGCUGAUUACAACAUGUCAGUAUGGGUUCAUCAUACAAAUAACAAGUGUUUAAUAUUUAUAAUAACACACAUGCCCCCCUCUGGUAGGAGAUGGUAACAAUGCGGGAGGCUGUGCGUCUGUGGGGACAGGAGGCAUUGAGGCAUUCUCUGAACCUUCCUCUCAAUUUUGCUGUGAACCUAAAACUGCUCUAAAAAAAUCCUUUAG
Long non-coding RNA from Mustela erminea (ermine), 2187 nucleotides. RefSeq lists it as uncharacterized. The record is from RefSeq and is a predicted model, not a curated record. Lineage: Eukaryota; Metazoa; Chordata; Mammalia; Carnivora; Mustelidae. The transcript is spliced from 3 exons.